GCUUUCCUGUGGCUCAGUCAGUAGAGCAUUGGUCCAGCAACACAAGGGUCUUGAGUUCAAAUCCCAGGGAAAGCA
Molecule: non-coding RNA, 75 nt
Organism: Danionella cerebrum
Lineage: Eukaryota; Metazoa; Chordata; Actinopteri; Cypriniformes; Danionidae
Source: the annotation of a GenBank genome assembly